Molecule: transfer RNA, 70 nt
Filed under: Chthonerpeton indistinctum
Lineage: Eukaryota; Metazoa; Chordata; Amphibia; Gymnophiona; Typhlonectidae
Description: tRNA-Gln
Rfam family: tRNA
About the family: Transfer RNA (tRNA) molecules are approximately 80 nucleotides in length. Their secondary structure includes four short double-helical elements and three loops (D, anti-codon, and T loops).
Source: RNAcentral
UAGAAGAUAGUGUAUGGGAGCACGGAGGGUUUUGAUCUCUCGAGGAUAGGUUCAAGUCCUAUGUUUCUAU